Molecule: ribosomal RNA, 867 nt
Filed under: Triticum aestivum (bread wheat)
Lineage: Eukaryota; Viridiplantae; Streptophyta; Magnoliopsida; Poales; Poaceae
Description: partial small subunit ribosomal RNA
Source: RNAcentral
AUGGAGCUGGGGCCAGAGGACGUGCCGCCAUUCGCAGCGGUGCCCGAGUCGCAGCUAGGGUUUUUUAAGUUGUCAAUUGGGCAGUUCGAAGGGCUGGAGGAGGCGGACGUGCUCGUCAACUCAUUCAGCGACAUCGAGCCAACGGAGGCAGAGUACAUGGAAUUAACUUGGGGAGCGAAGACUGUAGGCCCCACCUUGCCAUCGUUUUACCUCGAGGACGAUCGUCUGCCCUCCAACAAGUCUUAUGGUUUCAAUCUUUUUGGUGACGAUGCACCGUGUUUGGAUUGGUUAGAGGAACAUAGCAUCUCCUCUGUUGUGCUUGUAUCCUACGGGACUUUCUCGAACUAUGACACAACCCAGCUGGAGGAACUUGGCAAUGGAGUAUGCAGCUCAGGCAAACCUUUUCUAUGGGUUGUUAGGUCCAAUGAGGUACACAAGUUAUCCGAAGAAGUCAAGGCAAAAUGUGAGAAGAAUGGAUUGAUUGUUUCUUGGUGCCCCCAACUUGAGGUUCUGGCACAUAAGGCCAUCGGUUGUUUUGUUACUCAUUGUGGAUGGAACUUGACACUCGAGGCAGUUGUUUGCGGUGUACCUAUUGUGGGAAUUCCGCACUGGGCAGACCAACCCACCAUCGCAAAGUAUGUGGAGAGCGCAUGGGAUAUGGGUGUGCGAGUGCGGAAGAGUGAAACUGGAUUUCUAAGGAGUGAGGAGGUCGGGAGGUGUAUUAGGGAGGUCAUGGAUGGAGAGAGGAAGAACGAGUAUAAAAGGAAUGCAACAAAGUUGAUGCAGAAGGCUAAGGAGGCAAUGCGAGAAGGUGGAAGCUCCGACAAGCAUAUUGCAGAAUUCGCUGCAAAGUAUUUGUCAAUUUAA